UUUCAGGUGCUCUGAACGCGCAUUUAGGAUUUAUUAAGUUGAAAUUGAUAUCGGCAGUUGUCAAAUUUGCCGAAGUUGCAUGGCCCCAAAAUCUCAAGGCAACAGACAAUUGCCGAAAUAUUGGUUACACAGUCCUACACGGUUACGUUC
Non-coding RNA from Caenorhabditis elegans, 150 nucleotides. NCBI's taxonomy places the organism in Eukaryota, Metazoa, Nematoda, Chromadorea, Rhabditida, Rhabditidae. The record is from Ensembl.